RNAcentral lists this ribosomal RNA (399 nucleotides) under uncultured bacterium. RNAcentral describes it as "bacterial SSU rRNA". It matches the Rfam family "Bacterial small subunit ribosomal RNA", at positions 28 to 429 of the family's 1533-position model. The record is from RNAcentral.
GACGAACGCUGGCGGCGUGCUUAACACAUGCAAGUCGAGCGGUAAGGCCCUUUCGGGGGUACACGAGCGGCGAACGGGUGAGUAACACGUGGGUGACCUGCCCUCAGCUCUGGGAUAAGCCUGGGAAACCGGGUCUAAUACUGGAUAUGACUCCAUGACGCAUGUUGUGGGGUGGAAAGCCUUGUGCGGCUGAGGAUGGGCCCCGCGGCCUAUCAGCUUGUUGGUGGGGUGANGGCCUACCAAGGCGACGACGGGUAGCCGGCCUGAGAGGGCGACCGGCCACACUGGGACUGAGACACGGCCCAGACUCCUACGGGAGGCAGCAGUGGGGAAUCUUGCGCAAUGGGCGAAAGCCUGACGCAGCGACGCCGCGUGAGGGAUGACGGCCUCGGUUGUAAC